Molecule: long non-coding RNA, 668 nt
Organism: Carassius auratus (goldfish)
Lineage: Eukaryota; Metazoa; Chordata; Actinopteri; Cypriniformes; Cyprinidae
Exons: 3
Source: RefSeq, a predicted model, not a curated record
UGUGUUGCUAGAGCCUCUUAGAAAGAGAACCACUGGCUCCUGUGGAGUUAGUGUGUGUGUUUUCCUUUUCUUUCUGCCUGUUUGUGUGUAUGUUGCGUUCAGAACUGUGGAUUUGUUUCUAGGUUUGGCAGAUGAGAUGGCUACAGAAGGAAAGCACUGCGGUGUGAGGUGGUGAAGGCCGAGGGUUGAGCGCUGAUGACCCACUCUUCUCUGAGGGUGGGAAAGCACAGUUCAGAAGGGCAAAGAUUUUCCCUGUGAAAACAUUAUCAGCCAUCUCGCCUGUUCCGUUGACUCGCGGGGAGCAGCAGUGGUCAAAGGUGUGGUUAACGGCUUAGCUCGUCAUCCCAAGCGCUUGGUCACACACUCCUCAAUGUGGCAUUGCCUGAAGGGCACUGAUAACACGCAUUCUGCACUUCUAUUGGUUGAUGUCCAGAAAACCAGCAAUCUCACACGGAAGAAUCUGUACAUUAGAGGAAAGACUGUAGCUGGCAGUAGACAUGGCUUCACAGCACAGAUGAGAUGAGGUGGGAUGUGGAGCUGGAUCUAGCACAGGAUCUAGUGAACCUCACAUUGGGUAUCCUGCACAGUAACAGUCUAUGUGUGGAGUGACAGAGAUUAUCAUUUAAAGCUUUCUGUAAUCAAUUUCUUUUUAUAGAAUUUAGAAUCCU